GACGAACGCUGGCGGCGUGCUUAACACAUGCAAGUCGAACGGAAAGGCCCUGCUUUUGUGGGGUGCUCGAGUGGCGAACGGGUGAGUAACACGUGAGUAACCUGCCCUUGACUUUGGGAUAACUUCAGGAAACUGGGGCUAAUACCGGAUAGGAUCUCCUGCUGCAUGGUGGGGGUUGGAAAGUUUCGGCGGUUGGGGAUGGACUCGCGGCUUAUCAGCUUGUUGGUGGGGUAGUGGCUUACCAAGGCUUUGACGGGUAGCCGGCCUGAGAGGGUGACCGGCCACAUUGGGACUGAGGUACGGCGCAGACUCCUACGGGAGGCAGCAGUGGGGAAUAUUGCACAAUGGGCGGAAGCCUGAUGCAGCAACGCCGCGUGCGGGAUGACGGCCUUCGGGUUGUAAACCGCUUUCGCCUGUGACGAAGCGUGAGUGACGGUAAUGGGUAAAGAAGCACCGGCUAACUACGUG
Molecule: ribosomal RNA, 468 nt
Filed under: uncultured bacterium
Lineage: Bacteria
Description: partial 16S ribosomal RNA
Rfam family: Bacterial small subunit ribosomal RNA
Source: RNAcentral